This 3348-nucleotide long non-coding RNA is filed under the name Equus asinus (donkey). RNAcentral's name for it is "lncRNA (ENSEASG00005032901.1)". Lineage: Eukaryota; Metazoa; Chordata; Mammalia; Perissodactyla; Equidae. The record is from RNAcentral.
GAAGAGGCAGAGCUCAUCCUGGGGUCAAAGGACCCAGGCGUACGCUAACUAGAAGGUGGUGUGAACCUCACAACAUACAUACAAAUGGUACAAAGUAAGCAGGUGCUCUGGGAGAAGCUGAGGGAAACCCUUUCCCACACCUAGUCCUUUCACUUGGGAGAUAAUUUUGUUUGAUUCUAAAGAGUACUAUGACUUCAGGGCCCAAGGAGGACAGCUCAUUGGAAAUAGUUCAGAGGAGAUCCCAACACAAACUCAUCAUUCAUAAUGGAGAAGCAUCCACUGCACACGCCUACUACUACCAGACUAGUUUUUUCAUCUCUGAAAAAAGGGAACAGAACACUAUGGUCUAGAGAGAUGUGUCACAAGCACUUCAUCCAAGAUGCAACAGCUCAUAGACUGCAAAGAAAGGCACAUACUUUGUGAAGCAACUGGCAAUUAAAUAUUUCAACUGGAUAGUCAAUUCAAGCAUUUUAACUUGAAAGACUGCCAAGAUAGAAGAAUCACUGGAACUCUCAAAUAGCGAUUUCACUAACUUUGUGAUUGAUUUAGGGUCCACGGCAUCCUUCUGUAUAUGCUAUUCUAAUUCGUAAUAUCAGUAACUGAACUUGUCAGAUGCAGCCAGAUUAUUCUCAUCAGUUAAAAAAUCCCAAAUCCAGAACAAAAAGGUCCGUUUAUUUUUUACUAAUGACUAGUCAUACCUUUUGCCUACUGCCACUUAGAAGUUUUUUCCAAAUGAUUUUGACACUUCGGUUAUGGGGAAAAUUUUCCUAAAAAACAGAUUUCUUCCUUUUACUUAUGUCUGAUAAGAGCAUACAUAUCUCAUACAUCAAAUAUAUGUCACACCCCUAUAGGUACAUCCACACACACAUGUAUCCAUACUAUAGACACAACCACACUGUUUUGCUCCCUUAGCAGAAACAAAUAGAUAUGGUAAGUUUUCUGUAUUAUCGUUUGAGUACGCUUUCUACAGAAUUCAGCAGAAGAACAAAGAUGGAUAUAUCCUUUUGCAUCUAUGUCUCUUCAGGUGAGCCCAGUUUGACAGGCCAUUUUCAGCAGAUAAAGCAUAAUAAACACAGAGAUCAGUCAAAACUUCCCUUCGGAUUUUAAGCCCCUUGGGGGGAAAGCGAGUUACUUAGUUGAGCUUGGGCUUCUGUUUUCACGUAAUCUUCUAAAGCAAGAGGCCAGUUUCCUGAAAAUAGAUCUGCAUGCAGAGACUGGCUACCAAAUUAACAUAGGGGAAAAAAAUCUCAUUGUUCGCUAGCAGGGAAACGAAAAAAAAAACCAGUUGGUAAAUUAAUAGGGGCUCAUUCAUUCUCCUUCCAGGACAUGCACAAGGAAACAGGAUGGCAGCAGCUGCUAUCUGCUGGCUCUGCUGAGUCUUUCCGUGACAUUCAACCGCGAGGAAAGAUUUUACUCAGUGAACAUUACCAUGUUUCCAUGCCUCCUUAUCCUCCAGCUCCAACAAUCAACCUGACUGUUCUGCAUUUUUUAGGCCAGGAUACUGUAGGGCUGAAUUUCUGUAACUCAGGGUAUUUCUAUUUUAAUCAUCAACAAUUUUUAGGUAUUGCAUCAUUUGAAAGGAAUGUUAUUUUUUAACAACUCUUUCUCACACAGAGAACACACUUAAAAUUGCAAAACUCUCCAUCCCCAGCAUUAAAAUCAUCACCUUUCAGGAACAUCCUUCCUAAUUGUCUCUCAGCCCACAAGCCAUGAGAAUGUUUCCAUUUCAAAAUCCAGUCUUCACUGUCGUACUUUAUAUGAUGCUUUUUGAGCAGGUUGCCCUUCUUUGGAUUUUUUUCUUCCAAAUCUGAUAGGAAAGUUGGAGCCUGAAAUGUGAAUCCAUAAACUACACCAGUAACUCUCGUGUGGCAAAAGCGGAACAGUGGAAAUACAUUGUUUUCAUUGAAGUGAAAUGCCAGUCUGUUCUUGCAUGAGCAAACUGGAUUAAGAUAACUUCCCUUGGGGCUUCAGGAUUUCACAAGGAGACUGUAUCUGACUACAAGACUUCUUUAAGAACGUAGUUUCAAAAUGUUACGGACAUCAGGCUCCAACAGUCCUGACUGGAGAAAGUAGACCAGAAUAGAGAUGCAACUGUUACUGCUGUGGAGCUGGAUCACCUAGCUGUAAGUCCUCUCUCGACUUACAUGCCUUUAGUGAAAGCUUUCCUGCAGGAAGCAGAUGAACAAGGAGCGCAAGACCCGGAGCCGCGCUUCUGAGUUGAAGUCCUGGCUAUGCUAUUUACUAGCUAUGUGAUCCUGGGCAAUCAUUUAAUUUUUCUGAGGUUGAUUAUCCUGAUCUAGAGAAUGGAGACAUAAAUUCCUAGACUGCAGUGGUUGUUAGGGUUAUACGUAAUUCAGUAUAUGGAAACAUUCUAUAAUUUUUAAAGCACUACACAAACAUUUAUUUUAUUAGAUGGAUCAGCACCCCGGAGCGCCUUUUCAGGGUGAAGUACAAAAUGAACUGAGAAGUGGACGGGAAGGUACUCUGAAAAAUAGGGACAGCUUCCAUUUUUGGAACACUCUGCGCCAGAUACUGCUGCAUGCUUUAAUAUGCAUUUUCUCAACGUUCAAAAUCACCUGACAAGGUUGGUGGUGUCAUCUCCAUUUCCCAGGUGAGGGAACAGAGAUUUAGAACGGGGACAUGACUUGCCCUUGGUCACAAAGCUUGUGGAGGGCAAGACCAGGGUGCAAAGCGGGAUUUGCCCGAAUCCAGGCCCAGGCUUUUAGCCGUGAGUCUCUGCUGGCUCAGCGCAUUAUAGAGACUGUAAUGGCUAUUCUCCACGUGGCCGGAUGGAACUUUGAAUGUAAACUGGCUCCGAUUUCAGGGUUUCACCAAUAAGCACAUGAGCAAACCAUUAAAACCAGCUUUGGUUCUGAUCAGCAGAAGCAGCACCCAACAACCCACCAAGAGGACGGCGACAACUUGGAAAUUAGUAGGAUUUGGCUAGCACUGAACGGUUGGAGACCUGGAUGCUCAGCCACACACGUGAUUUGCAGUGUGCCCUUAAGCAAGCCACAUCUCUAAAGCCUGGCUUCCCGCUAAUCUAAAGGAGGCUCACGUCAAAAGAGCAUAGUGACUAGCCCAACACUCAUUCACAUGAUUAUGACAGUGCUAAAAUAAUGUCUCUAAAAUACAGCCCAGCAGUUUAUCCUCCUAAGUUCCCCGUUUCUAAGAGGCAGUAUGGCGACAUGGUCACAUGUAGACUUCUGGAGGCAGAAUGUCAAGCUCUGCAAUUCGCUCCCUGCACAACCCUGGGUAACUUACGUUAACUCUCAGUGUCUCAGUCUCCUCAGCUGUUUAAAAUAAGGAUGAUGAUAGUACCCACCACACCUAAGGUUGCUGUGACAA